UAAAUCGUUUCUCCAACCUUUCCAACCCUUAUAAACAAAAAACAAAAAGAAUAAUUAGAAUUUAGGUCCCCCCCUACUCCCAACACUACAAAUACCAAAGUCACAUGGGCCGGGGGAGUAACUAGCGCCCUGGCACACAAGUGCAAAUAGCUCUGGUUAUGAAGUUUUUCAAGCAGAAACACUGCACAGCCAGAUUCCUUCCUUGGCCACUUCUAAAAAGGAGGUGGCCAAUGUCCAUUGCCACAUCUAAAAGCAGAAGUGGCCAUCGACAUAGGAGUAACCAUGUAAAGGUAAAAGAUUAUUCGGUGUAGAAACCUUGUCAAUAGCACAGUAC
Molecule: non-coding RNA, 334 nt
Organism: Pelobates cultripes (western spadefoot toad)
Lineage: Eukaryota; Metazoa; Chordata; Amphibia; Anura; Pelobatidae
Source: the annotation of a GenBank genome assembly